Molecule: ribosomal RNA, 657 nt
Filed under: Triticum aestivum (bread wheat)
Lineage: Eukaryota; Viridiplantae; Streptophyta; Magnoliopsida; Poales; Poaceae
Description: partial small subunit ribosomal RNA
Source: RNAcentral
AUGGCGAUGAGGGCGUGGAGGAGGAGCGCGGCGGCGAGGGCCCCGGCGCACCUGUGCCUGUGGCUGGCGCUCGUCGCCGCCACCCUGGUGCUCGCCCAGGUGCUCAUCCACCUCGGUAAGAAGUCGAACCUGUCGGAGGUGACGCACAAGGUCUACUUCGACAUUGAGAUCGACGGCAAGCCCGCAGGUCGGGUUGUCAUGGGACUUUUCGGCAAGGCUGUUCCUAAAACCGCAGAGAACUUCAGAGCACUCUGCACAGGAGAGAAAGGCAUGGGCAACAGCGGCAAGCCUCUCCACUACAAGGGGAGUUCGUUCCACAGAAUUAUCCCCAGCUUCAUGAUCCAAGGAGGUGACUUCACUCUUGGCGAUGGAAGGGGCGGUGAAUCAAUCUACGGCACAAAGUUCGCCGAUGAGAACUUCAAGCUCAAGCACACUGGACCAGGCUACCUUUCCAUGGCCAAUGCUGGGAGAGAUACCAAUGGAUCCCAGUUCUUCAUCACCACUGUAACCACGAGCUGGUUGGAUGGCAAGCACGUCGUGUUCGGCAAGGUGUUGUCUGGAAUGGACGUGGUCUACAAGGUUGAGGCCGAGGGCAAGCAGAACGGGACGCCAAAGAGCAAGGUUGUCAUCGCCGACAGCGGAGAAGUGCCGCUGUGA